ACCGAACGCUGGCGGCAGGCCUAACACAUGCAAGUCGAACGAUUGGUGGACGGGUGUGUAAUGUCCGGGAACAUGCCCGAUGGAGGGGGAUAACUACUGGAAACGGUAGCUACUACCGCAUACCCUCGGCUGUUCCCAUAUGUGUUAAGCUUGUAGGUGGGGUAACGGCUCACCUCGGCGACGAUCCCGAGCUGGUCUGCGAGGAUGACCAGCCACACUGGGACUGAGACACGGUCCAGACGCCUACGGGAGGCAGCAGUGGGGAAUAUUGCACAAUGGGGGCAAGCCUGAUGCAGCCAUGCCGCGUGUGUGAAGAAGGCCUUCGGGUUGUAAAGUACUUUCAGCGAGGAGGCGUUACUCGCAGAAGAAGCACCGGCUAACUCCGUGCCAGCAGCCGCGGUAAUAC
This 406-nucleotide ribosomal RNA is filed under the name uncultured bacterium. Its description in RNAcentral is "partial 16S ribosomal RNA". It matches the Rfam family "Bacterial small subunit ribosomal RNA", at positions 30 to 526 of the family's 1533-position model. The record is from RNAcentral.